This 439-nucleotide ribosomal RNA is filed under the name Neogloboquadrina pachyderma. Its description in RNAcentral is "SSU rRNA". It matches the Rfam family "Eukaryotic small subunit ribosomal RNA", at positions 1164 to 1422 of the family's 1831-position model. Lineage: Eukaryota; Foraminifera; Rotaliida; Globorotaliidae. The record is from RNAcentral.
GCACCACAAGAACGCGUGGAGCAUGUGGCUUAAUUUGACUCAACGCGGGAAAUCUUACCGGGUCCGGACACACUGAGGAUUGACAGGCAAUAUCUCAUGUUAACGGUAAGUUUACUUACCGCUUAACAUCGAGUGUUAAAUAUGCUAGUCCUUUCAUGAUUAUGUGAUAGGUGGUGCAUGGCCGUUCUUAGUUCGUGGAGUGAUCUGUCUGCUUAAUUGCGUUUCACUAAGGGCCCAUAAAUUCAAGGUAUGUUAGCUCUCGUCGCUCUAUGGACCCCUUAACUCCAAUAUUCUUAUUGUGUUAAGCGCGUGUCUUUAUUUUAAGAGUUUUAAGACACUGCGCAUGCUGUUGGGCUCUGAAAGCAACAACGUGACCGCAACGUCUUGUUGCCUUAAACUAUCGUAUAUUGCAAUUUAUUGUAAUAUCGCUUACAGAGGC